GACGAACGCUGGCGGCGUGCUUAACACAUGCAAGUCGAGCGGUAAGGCCCUUUCGGGGUACGACGAGCGGCGAACGGGUGAGUAACACGUGGGUGACCUGCCCUUACGCUCCUUGGGAGUAAAGACCUCGGGAAACGUAGGGUCGUAAUACCGGAUAUGACUCCAUGACGCAUGUUGUGGGGUGGAAAGCCUUGUGCGGCUAGGGAUGGCCCGCGGCCUAUCAGCUUGUUGGUGGGGUGAUGGCCUACCAAGGCGACGACGGGUAGCCGGCCUGAGAGGGCGACCGGCCACACUGGGAC
This 299-nucleotide ribosomal RNA is filed under the name uncultured bacterium. Its description in RNAcentral is "partial 16S ribosomal RNA". It matches the Rfam family "Bacterial small subunit ribosomal RNA", at positions 28 to 319 of the family's 1533-position model. The record is from RNAcentral.